Molecule: ribosomal RNA, 393 nt
Filed under: uncultured bacterium
Lineage: Bacteria
Description: partial 16S ribosomal RNA
Rfam family: Bacterial small subunit ribosomal RNA
Source: RNAcentral
AUACGUAGGUGACAAGCGUUAUCCGGAUUUACUGGGCGUAAAGGGCGUGUAGGCGGUCUUGCAAGUCAGAAGUGAAAUUCCUGAGCUCAACUCGGGCGCUGCUUCUGAAACUGCAGGACUUGAGUGCUGGAGGGGAUGCCGGAAUUCCAGGUGUAGGGGUGAAAUCUGUAGAUAUCUGGAAGAACACCGAUGGCGAAGGCAGGCAUCUGGCCGGAGACUGACGCUGAGGCGCGAAGGCGCGGGGAGCGAACAGGUUUAGAUACCCUGGUAGUCCGCGCAGUAAACGAUGCGCACCAGGUGUCGGGCGGCAGCGCCCGGUACCGGAGCUAACGCGAUGAGUGCGCCGCCUGGGGAGUAUGCCCGCAAGGGUGAAACUCAAAUGAAUUGACGGGG